Molecule: long non-coding RNA, 2993 nt
Organism: Pezoporus occidentalis (night parrot)
Lineage: Eukaryota; Metazoa; Chordata; Aves; Psittaciformes; Psittacidae
Exons: 5
Source: RefSeq, a predicted model, not a curated record
UAUAAAUCAUACUAGCCAGCUGAUGUACAUGUUGUUCUAGCAGGGCUGAUACAUUACCACAUCAUGUGGAGCACAAGCCAAAAGUUGUGUUUUCAUUCACACUCUGCUGAUAGCAGCUGAGUAGCAGCAGCCAUGGAGCAACAUCCAGAGCUCUCAGUCCUGGUUCACCACUGGGUGGAGGCACCAAGAGACAUUGGAUGAGAAGCUGUGGAGCAAGAUCCUUCAGGAGCUGGCUGAUGAGGCACAUGUUUCAGAUUUCUCAGCCUAGAAGAGAGAAGGAUGAACAAAAAUCUCAGAUCAAAGCCUUGAUCUGGCAAAUGAAAUGUUACUCAACAGCAGCUAGGAGCUACCAGCCUUCAACCAAUAAGCACUGAAUGAGCAGCAUAGUUAUCUGGGAGAGAACUUCCUUCUGAUCAUAACUAUCUCAGGGAGAGAAGCAUACUGAUAGCCAGACUUCGUGCCACCAUUUCUAUCAUAACUUUGGAAUACGUUUGACAAAGUAGGUCACAUUAAAAACCUGCAGUUAUGAGAUCAAAAAGUACAUAUUAGUCCAACAACCAGUGCCAGGGUUGAAGGCAAAAUGCAGCACUCCUACAUCCCAGUCCAGUACCCUGUCAGAGAUUGUUUUCUCCAGGCUUUCUUAGCUACCCCUGGAUGCAACAGCAGCAUAUUUGCCCGCUGCCUCCACUUCAGUGAUACUCACCUUCAGAAAAAGGAUAUCAGCUAAUUAAGAGCAAGCUCUCUGAUGAUCAGUUCAUUUGCAAUUCCUCGCAUUGGGAUUGCAUAAUACAAGGCAUAACACCAGCCACUCCAGCAAGAGAAAUCGAGAGAGAUGUGCAAAUGGAGAGAGGAGGAUUUGUCCUUGAGGGAGGACGUUUAGCAUACCUAGAAACACAUUUUUAAAAUUAAUUGAUCCCCUUAAGGAAUUGUGAGUGAUGGAUUAGAGACUUUAACCGGGGAAGAAGUCUGUGAUACUGUGUGUUUGAGAAGGCACUGAAAAAGGAUGUGAGUUUGCAGUCUCAUGUGCUUAAGCUAAACCAUCAGCCUCGGUGUGGAACAUAUUCAUUGGCUGGAGAAGGAAUGGAUCAAGGGGACCCUUGGAGCUAUGUGCAAGCAGAGGAGGAUCUGUGGCACCUAUUCCUGGCCAGCCGGCCAGCUCUGAGAGCAGCUGUGUGAGAAGCAGAGAGGGAAAGCAGCACCAGAGAGGAAUAUAGCAUGCAGUGGUAUUUUAAAAACAUAUUCUUGACUCUGAGAAAUGUCUAGAUAAGCAGGAUAGCAGAUGAUAUGGAGAUUUCUUAUUUUAAUGGAAAAGAACAGCAGGACAUUGCUUCAGAUGUGCUUCCUUACUAAAUCUGCCUGUUAGUUGUCGAGUCUGAGUCAUCUCUAUCUUAGUAUGCAACAUGUUCCACCAAGUAAUGAGAUUUCUUUGAGUUUCCACUGUAUUAGACUUCUCUACACAUCAAAUAUUUAAUAAGAAUUAGCAUCCAGCCAUCCUCCCUCCUCCCCGCCACAAUAAUAUUAACUUCGACUCAGACACCAAUAUUCUGCAAUUCACAGUGCUGUGAAGGGUAAGUGAAAAAGCCCUGUAUAUUUUUCCAAGGGAUUUGCUGUGCUCCUCUGCAAACACACAGUAAUUGAGAAAAAGGAUGACCGACAGAAAAAGACACAGUAAACUGAAGGUGUGAAAAGAGACUUCUCAUUAGUCUUUGUGUCAGUUAUGGUAUCUGAGGAACAAUUUCAUAGCAAUAGCAUAUUUAUUUGAUGUGGCACAGAUAUCUGGGCUCACUGUUACGGAUGGCAUUUGCUCUUUAUGCUUAAAGUACCUCUUUAACAAAAUGGCACUCCAUAAAAAUUUAGUGUGUUCCUACUGUAAUUAAAAAGCCCUAGUCAUUUUUGCAUUUAUGAUAUAAACUAUAAUAGCUGUAAAAUCCUGCAAUUAAUUUGCGCCAACAUUUCAUACUUGAGAAAUUCUCAUUACAAAUUUCAUUACUUAUUCACUUAUCUGUAAUUUCUCCUAUAUAACCUAAAGAAUAUUAACAAAUUUAGAGUCACUUUUGCUCUAUUAAAAGCUAAAUAGAAAAGCCUUUCACCUAGCAAGCCAAUCGUGGUAACAUUCUCAAGCCUGCUCCAAAACGGCAGUGAGCCACAGUCAGGCUAUACAGAAAGAGAUAUUCUUUAUGAAGUACAAGCCAUAACCAACAUGCAAAGCCCUUUGGAAACUGUGUGAUGUAUCCUUAGCUAAUCCACUGCACCUUCAUUAGUUUAAAAGCAUUAAAAGGCUUGAAUGUCUUUCUUAACUAUGGCUGUGAAAUUGACAUGCAGCAGGGCAGGACAGGCAAUAAAACAACAAGGAAACAGUUAUCUAUCCAGGCAAGAGCAACUAUGCAAAGUCCAGAAAACAGGGAUUCUGUUUCCCCUUCCCUCUUCAGUUUUCUUCCCUGCUGCUCACAGUCUUAAUUCGCUCUCUGGAUGUAUGCAGGACUUCAAGGGCUGUAAAAUCUUAAGGAGCACUGAGGAAAAGCCCCAGUUUUCCUCCAAAUAAACAAUGGUGCUACUAAAAUAAGACAGAAGGACUGGCAGAAGAGGGCUGCACAUGUGAGCCCAUGGGAGAGGGAGAGGAACUUCAGCUGCCCUGUAGUUUCUCCUGGCUGCUGAAUUCUGACUGCAUGACAGCAAAAACACCCAACUGCUCUUGAAAUUUUGACCAUGUCUUCUUCAUGGCUAUAUGUUCUCUGUCAUCUUCUCUGGGGCCAGUGCUCCAAUCCUGCAGAUGCCAGAACUCUGCUGAAAGCAUCUUAAGUAAAGAAAAACAUCAUCUCCAAGACCGCUGACUACUCCUUGCUCCAUCCAAGUCCAGUCCAGCUCUGCCCAACUUCCAAAUGGCAAUUCCAAAUAUGCUUUUCAUGAAUUUUCACCCUUUCUAUUCAUUUAAAGUCAUUUUUACUUAUAAGAGGAUGCUCUACUCCUUUCCCAUGUUUUUUCUGUGUUUUUGC